Molecule: ribosomal RNA, 274 nt
Filed under: uncultured bacterium
Lineage: Bacteria
Description: partial 16S ribosomal RNA
Rfam family: Bacterial small subunit ribosomal RNA
Source: RNAcentral
AUACGGAGGGUGCAAGCGUUACUCGGAAUCACUGGGCGUAAAGCGCAUGCAGGCGGUCAGAUAAGUUAGAAGUGAAAUCCUAUAGCUCAACUAUAGAGCUGCUUCUAAAACUGUUUGACUAGAGUCUGGGAGGGGAAGAUGGAAUUAGUAGUGUAGGGGAAAAAUCCGUAGAGAUUACUAGGAAUACCAAAAGCGAAGGCGAUCUUCUGGAACAGUACUGACGCUGAGAUGCGAAAGCGUGGGGAGCAAACAGGAUUAGAUACCCUAGUAGUCC